AGCACUGGGGUGUGUUUUCGUUCAACUAGUAGACAAAGGCAAGAACGACAGGUGUAAAAAUAAAUUCUUUUUUGCAACCCAGAACCCAUUGUUCAGUAUGAGUUUUGAUACAUAUAAGAAGGAACAUG
Molecule: small nucleolar RNA, 128 nt
Organism: Peromyscus maniculatus bairdii (prairie deer mouse)
Lineage: Eukaryota; Metazoa; Chordata; Mammalia; Rodentia; Cricetidae
Product: predicted gene, 23320
Source: Ensembl